AACUUGAGAACAGUGAAGCAUACCUGAGCUUCACAACGUACAACAGCCAUCACACGAUCAUUGUAUUCUUCAAUAUACGUUUCUCCGAGCAUAUAGCUGCAUAUGAAUUCAGACAACGUAAGCAAGCUUAUCGUUCAAAAGAACAUUUAAUAACCUGACAAUAGUAAAUUAUAGAAGUACUUGUAAAAUUUAUGAUACAUCCUCUCAGUUAUUACCAGUGUUGGGUAUUUUAUGGCAGGAUAAGUGACUCAUAGAAUUUUACCAAUUUAAUGUCUCUCAAGAAAAGACUGUGAUUUGUACAUGUAAAUAUGUGAUAGAGUGCACGUCAUACGCAAAAUACACGUCUAUAAUUAACCCAGAUCAAACUAUUGAUGCAUUGACUUGUUAUUGCUUUUUAUUCUUAUACUCUAAUGGUGAAAGAUGUGUUACCGUACCCGAAACCCCAAGUAAUUAUAAUGAUAAGAAAAAAUAAGUUCUUUUUGAUUCGCUGAUCUUUUGUACAGGUAAAAGAACUUAAUCUCUUUUAAAUUGGGGAAAGUAACAUAAAAGAUAGUCUACUACAUGUCAGUGGAACUCCAGCCAAAGUAACUGGCCAUAUCACCGAAACAAAGUUUUCAGAAUUUGGUUGAAAUUAAAAAUUGCAGUUUUGGUUAAUUUUUACAGAAUGCAUUUAAACAAGUAAAGACCUUAUUCGACCAUCCCCCUAAGCUUGUACUCUCAAUUCCCAGCUAUGCCAAUUGCUGAUAAUUUAGACAGAAGUCACAGAGCAGAACUUGGGAUGGCAUGGUAUGGCAACAUACUGACUGAAUUUCAAAAAUUGGCUUGAACCCACUUUCAUAUACACAAAGCCUGACCACUGAUAAAAAUUGCAUUCUUGCAUUCACAUUGUCUUCCGAAAAUAGAUAAACCAAUGACCUCCUACACCCUACUUUUGUCUAUCACUUUACACAACCACACAUGCAUACAUCAAAAUUUCAAAAAAAAUUACAACAAACCUCAUCAAAUGCAGACACCGAUAAACGCCAAUGAAGCUGCAUUGUACACAGACAGGAGUGCACACCAUCCGCUCGACAAAAAGUCUGAACGAAAAAUCACCUUUGGUACCAAUUGUUUGUUUGUCAGAAAGGCUAACUCACAAUAAAUCAAGAGAGAGCCACAAUAUCGUUACAAUGUUUUUUGACAAAAAUCAAUCUGAAACAAGAUAUACCUCCAUGCUAAUAAUCCACCCAUUCACAACUUCCUCCCUCAAGUAAGCAAAAGCAUAUAAUGUAAUAAAGCCAGAACUGCAAGUUCGCAGCACAUAUUGAACAAUAGAGAUAAAUACAAAGAAGAAACAAUUCUUUUUUAUCAUUAAUACGAACUUAAAUAUGUUUUCUUUAUCAGAAUCCACAAAUUUAAUACUUAUAAUAAAAGAGUUAUUGAUCAAAUCUUGAAAACAAUAGAAAAUUUUUGGUCUGAUUAACUCUCCAUAUGAAGUAUGAGUCAAUAUCAUCCCAGCGAACAGGUCUGUCCGGUAGACCAAUCCAAUAUUCGAUUGGCAAUUUAUCCUCGGUCAUCUCUGAAUCCAAUGGUUCAUGGAUGAAAGCAUGGAUGCUUUCAUCGUAAACUAUCUGUGUCUCAUCCACCUUACGGUCAGCGUCAGAGAGAGAAGCUAUUCCUUGAUGGACAUAACAUGCGACAACCAGUAGUAAAAACAAUGUUACUCUCCUGCUAUUCAUCACCGCCCGAUUUCCCUCUAAUCUCUCUACGAGUAUAUAUUAUGGAACGAUUAACAGAUGGGGUAUAUAUAUACCUGCAAACCAAUCAACAUCAAUUAGGUAUCCGAAAUGGAUUUGUAUGAUUAAG
This 1845-nucleotide long non-coding RNA is filed under the name Daucus carota (carrot). Its description in RNAcentral is "long non-coding RNA (DCAR_LNC001604)". Lineage: Eukaryota; Viridiplantae; Streptophyta; Magnoliopsida; Apiales; Apiaceae. The record is from RNAcentral.